AAGAGUGGAAAAACUCCCUUGACGGUACUUAAUGAAUAAGCCCCGGCUAAUUAUGUGCCAGCAGCCGCGGUAAUACAUAAGGGGCGAGCGUUAUCCGGAAUUAUUGGGCGUAAAGGGUGCGUAGGCGGUUUAAUAAGUCUAUAGUUUAAUUUCAGUGCUUAACGCUGUUGUGCUAUAGAAACUGUUUUACUAGAGUGAGAUAGAGGCAAGCGGAAUUCCAUGUGUAGCGGUAAAAUGCGUAAAUAUAUGGAGGAACACCAGAGGCGUAGGCGGCUUGCUGGGUCUUUACCGACGCUGAGGCACGAAAGCGUGGGGAGCAAACAGGAUUAGAUACCCUGGUAGUCCACGCCGUAAACGAUGAGUACUAAGUGUCGGGUAAAACUGGUACUGAAGUUAACACAUUAAGUACUCCGCCUGAGUGGUACGUACGCAAGUAUGAAACUUAAAGGAAUUGACGGGACUCCGCACAAGCGGUGGAUCAUGUUGUUUAAUUCGAAGAUACACGAAAAACCUUACCAGGUCUUGACAUUUUCUUACGAAGUUAUAGAAAUAUAAUGGAGGUCAUCAGGAAAACAGGUGGUGCAUGGUUGUCGUCAGCUCGUGUCGUGAGAUGUUAGGUUAAGUCCUAAAACGAGCGCAACCCUUGUCGUUAGUUGCCAGCAUGUAAUGAAGGGGACUUUAACGAGACUGCCAAUGAAAAAUUGGAGGAAGGUGGGGAUUACGUCAAAUCAUCAUGCCCCUUAUGAUCUGGGCUACAAACGUGAUACAAUGGUUGAUACAAAGAGUAGCUGAAACGCGAGUUCUUAGCCAAUCUCAAAAAAUCAAUCUCAGUUCGGA
Molecule: ribosomal RNA, 837 nt
Filed under: 'Malus spectabilis' x-disease phytoplasma
Lineage: Bacteria; Bacillati; Mycoplasmatota; Mollicutes; Acholeplasmatales; Acholeplasmataceae
Description: bacterial SSU rRNA
Rfam family: Bacterial small subunit ribosomal RNA
Source: RNAcentral